Long non-coding RNA from Pseudopodoces humilis (Tibetan ground-tit), 1030 nucleotides. RefSeq lists it as uncharacterized. The record is from RefSeq and is a predicted model, not a curated record. Lineage: Eukaryota; Metazoa; Chordata; Aves; Passeriformes; Paridae.
AGAGAGAGAGAGAGAGAGAGAGAGAGAGAGAGGGGGAGCGAGACCUCCGCUGGCCCCGCGAACUUGUCAAGUGCAAAGCACCAAGCUUUUGGGCUCAAAGAGCUUAGACCAUCAUGGCUACGAAAACUACUGCGGCUCAGAGAGUAUGUAAUUCUGGAGCUCCUUAAGGAAAAAAAGUAGUGCGAUGCAACAUCAGAACAGUGGCAAAGUGAGCUUCUCCACAGCAUGAACUUCAUGAACUUCAACCUUGAACUGAAGAAGACUCAUCAAAUGCCUUAGGAAAGACAGUAUGGAGUUGGAAGAGAAGCAGGGAUCUCCAUGAAGGGCAGUCAGUCAUGGUCAUGGUGUGUGGAGGAACAGGUCCUGUUCUCGCUGUUGUUACUCCCACAUAGACAGACUCUGUAAUUGAUUAUGUGUGGGUAGGGCCCUAUUGAAAUUCAGGAGAUUCUGCAGUAGUGCAGGGUUCUUUUUGUGAAAGCGCAGUUGCAAGAUCAGGACCCUACUGUGACUCCUUACUGUGCAUUCUGUCACUGUCUCAUUGAUUGUACUGGAACCUGCCUAUUGGGAUAAUUACCAAAAUCUAUAUUCCUCAAAACUUCUUAAUGGCACUGAGGCUUUGUGGAUAGUUGGUCACAUGAUGAGAAAAUUCAGCUGUAAUUCACCAUGGGACCCUGAAGUUCUUCCCUACUGCAAUUAGACUUGCCGGAGUUCAUGAUUCCUGAGAAGUAACCCCUUGAAGUUCUGGCACUAUCUUCUACAAAGUAACUUACCCUGAGCUGGCUUCCUGUUACUGUGUCAAUGAAACAUCAAAUGUUGAUACUAUGUGUGAAACAACAUUUGAUAUUACGGCUAUUAAGCUGCUUUAAAAAAUACUAUACAGAUGGAUUUUAUGUUUACAAGACCUGGCAUUUAAAAAUGUAUGUCAUGGAUGCAGGUAAUAAAUGUUGCUUAUGAAUUGUUACAGGAUAGAAAAUACAUAUAUUUGUGUACAAUAUGCUGGUCUUAGCUCUCGCUACUUUCAUCUCCUAAA